CCUACGGGAGGCAGCAGUGAGGAAUAUUGGUCAAUGGACGAGAGUCUGAACCAGCCAAGUAGCGUGAAGGAUGACUGCCCUAUGGGUUGUAAACUUCUUUUAUAUAGGAAUAAAAUGUUGCACGUGUGGGAUUUUGUAUGUACCAUAUGAAUAAGGAUCGGCUAACUCCGUGCCAGCAGCCGCGGUAAUACGGAGGAUCCGAGCGUUAUCCGGAUUUAUUGGGUUUAAAGGGAGCGUAGGUGGAUUGUUAAGUAAGUUGUGAAAGUUUGCGGCUCAACCGUAAAAUUGCAGUUGAUACUGGCAGUCUUGAGUACAGUAGAGGUGGGCGGAAUUCGUGGUGUAGCGGUGAAAUGCUUAGAUAUCACGAAGAACUCCGAUUGCGAAGGCAGUUCACUGGACUGCAACUGACACUGAGGCUCGAAAGUGUGGGUAUCAAACAGGAUUAGAUACCCGAGUAGUC
RNAcentral lists this ribosomal RNA (460 nucleotides) under uncultured bacterium. Its description in RNAcentral is "partial 16S ribosomal RNA". It matches the Rfam family "Bacterial small subunit ribosomal RNA", at positions 338 to 795 of the family's 1533-position model. The record is from RNAcentral.